Pelobates cultripes (western spadefoot toad) is the source of this 291-nucleotide non-coding RNA. The record is from the annotation of a GenBank genome assembly. NCBI's taxonomy places the organism in Eukaryota, Metazoa, Chordata, Amphibia, Anura, Pelobatidae.
CCCAAAAAGGUGGGGGUCCUGAGUGAAUACUGGGUGGUGUCCGAAGAGCUAGAAGUUGCAAGUUGUGUUUGGAUGAAGACUAGGAUUUCAUUAAUUUUUGUAGCACAGCAAAUAUUGAUAUGCCCAUGACGUAGCUUGGUCAGUUUAGUACCUGACUCUGUAGAUACAUACCACUGGGCUUAUCCUUCAAGUGAUUGUUUUCUUGCUCAAACCUCUUUUCGACCCGAAAGAUUUUACUAGUCAUGGGGAAUAUCAACCAGGUCACUGUGGCAGUAUCGGCAAGGAGAGCAG